Molecule: ribosomal RNA, 413 nt
Filed under: uncultured microorganism
Description: bacterial SSU rRNA
Rfam family: Archaeal small subunit ribosomal RNA
Source: RNAcentral
GUGCAGCAGUCGCGAAACCUCCGCAAUACACGAAAGUGUGACGGGGCCAUCCCGAGUGCCGUCCGCUGAGGACGGCUUUUCCCCAGUGUACACAGCUGGGGGAAUAAGGAGAGGGCAAGCCUGGUGUCAGCCGCCGCGGUAAUACCAGCUCUCCGAGUGGUGGGGACGCUUAUUGGGCCUAAAGCAUCCGUAGCCGGCUGGGCAAGUCCUCCGUUAAAUCCAACGAUUCAAUCGUUGGGCUGCGGGGGAUACUGUCCAGCUUGGGGGCGGGAGAGGCCGACGGUAUUCCCGGGGUAGGGGUGAAAUCCUAUAAUCCCGGGAGGACCGCCAGUGGCGAAGGCUGUCGGCUAGAACGCGCCCGACGGUGAGGGAUGAAAGCUGGGGGAGCGAACCGGAUUAGAUACCCCCGUAGU